ACUCCUACGGAAGGCAGCAGUGGGGAAUUUUGGACAAUGGGCGCAAGCCUGAUCCAGCCAUGCCGCGUGAGUGAAGAAGGCCUUCGGGUUGUAAAGCUCUUUCGGCCGGGAAGAAAUCGUAUGGGUUAAUACCCUGUGCGGAUGACGGUACCGGCAUAAGAAGCACCGGCUAACUACGUGCCAGCAGCCGCGGUAAU
This 197-nucleotide ribosomal RNA is filed under the name uncultured bacterium. RNAcentral's name for it is "partial 16S ribosomal RNA". It matches the Rfam family "Bacterial small subunit ribosomal RNA", at positions 335 to 524 of the family's 1533-position model. The record is from RNAcentral.